RNAcentral lists this ribosomal RNA (255 nucleotides) under Clostridioides difficile. RNAcentral describes it as "partial 23S ribosomal RNA". It matches the Rfam family "Bacterial large subunit ribosomal RNA", at positions 2476 to 2730 of the family's 2925-position model. The record is from RNAcentral. Lineage: Bacteria; Bacillati; Bacillota; Clostridia; Peptostreptococcales; Peptostreptococcaceae.
AACAGGCUUAUCUCCCCCAAGAGUCCACAUCGACGGGGAGGUUUGGCACCUCGAUGUCGGCUCAUCACAUCCUGGGGCUGUAGUAGGUCCCAAGGGUUGGGCUGUUCGCCCAUUAAAGUGGUACGCGGGCUGGGUUCAGAACGUCGUGAGACAGUUCGGUCCCUAUCCGUCGCAGGCGUAGGAAAUUUGAGAAGACCUGUCCUUAGUACGAGAGGACCGGGAUGGACGUACCUCUGGUGUACCAGUUGUCCUGCC